UAACUUUCCCCACCUGAUUCCAAUUUCCCCUUCCACUCCUUGUUCAUACCUGAAAUUAUCAGUUCCUUUAAAGAGAUUAUAUACUUCAGCCCUUCCGGUAUCUCCUUCAACUUGCCACAAAAUCCUAUAGACAAAGUACGAAGACAUGACAUCGACCCUUCUUCGAUUUCCCACUCUUCCAACUCUUUUAGAACCACUAAAUCUAGCUUAUGUAAUUGAGGGAAUCCACCUUUUGAACACACCAUUUUCCUCCCUGCGAAAGCAUCAAAGCAUAAUAUAACAGACUUUAAAUGAAGCAACUUUUCCAGAAUCGGGAGUGGGUCCUCCUCCAUUCUGCAUUCACCUAGAGAUAUGUGUGCAAGGUUUGGAGGGAAUCGAGAGUGCUCAGGAAGCCUUGGCAUAUGCAUCGACAUCACCAAAUCCCUUAGAUGAAUGAAAUUCCAAAUGAAAUCCACAUCAGGAGCCACAUCGGAUUCGCUCAAGGAGAUCAAGCUAAGCUUAUCCAGGUUUCUUAAUUCACGGAGAGAUGACGCUAGAAUUUCACAAGUAUACUUGCCUUCGAGAACUACUUCGAGAGUCCUGAGCCUAGUCAUGCCGCAGAGGUCUAUGAUGCUACCACUUUUCGAUCGGAAACACCCCAAAAGCUCCAGGUUCACUAGCUUACCCAAUUCCAGCUUUGUUUUAUUUUUCAUAUAAAAGGGUAGGAACAGGAACCUCAACUCGACCAUCUCUUUAAAGAUAUUUGGCACGUAAACAUACCCACUGGAGGAUAAUCUCAAAUAGAGUAGAAGCUUUAGAUUCCGUAGAGAAGAUGGUAGAUGAGAUCCCGAAGUCACGUUUAAGCUCAAAAAUCUCAAAUGAAUAUUGUCAUAUACUCUUUUCCAGUCUUCAACCGUAUACUUCUUGUUAGCUAACAAGCCUCCCAGCACUUUAACAGCUAACGGUAGUCCUCCACAAUAUUUAACCAUUUUUUUACCCAUAGCUUCCAGUUCUUUAUCAACAAUAAAUUCUGCAAAAAAAAAAAAGCAUAUAUUAUAAGAUAAUAGCCAUGAACCAUAUAUGUACAUCCCUGAACUACUCCACAAGAUUUUUGAUAAUAGGAGGUAAGAGAUAUCACAUUAUGUGUCGUAACGGAUUAAUAAGAUUCUUAUAUAUAAACGUACCAGUUUUGUCUCUUCUCGAUAAGGCUAUCUGCUCACAUAGCUCCCAACUUUCCUCGGGAGUAAGGAUUGUUGGUGUAAAGGCAAAACAUGUUGGGUCUGCAUGUAAACCAACACCUUCAUCGCGAGAAGUAAGAAUCAUUUUCCAACCUGCAAAUUGUAUUUAUAUUUUAUGUCAGGGAUUAAAAACGCAUUUAUGAAAUUGCUAAGGGAAGCACUCAAGUAAUGUAUGUACAAAUUAAAGAGCUCGCCUCUUUCUUGGGGGAAAGCGUCUUUUACUCUAUCCCAGUCUUCUUUUUUCCAUACAUCAUCUAAGACAAUUAAAUGUCUAGGUGUUCGUGUUCCCAACAAUAGAAAGAGCUUAGCCUGGAGCUCAUUCUCAUCCAUCUGUUUGACGUCCUCAUCAAUUGUGAUAAGAUAUUUCAAGAUCUUUUGCCAAAUAUCCUUCCGCUGAAACUCUUUUGAAACACAUACCCAUGCGAAUCCAUCAAAAUGACGUCGAACAAUGUCAUGAUGAAAAACUUGUCUCGCCAGCGUGGUUUUACCAAUACCACCCAUCCCUGAUAUGGAAACCACUUGAAUGUUAUCUUUUUUCACCAAAUGACCAACCAAUUCUUCAACACUCUCUUCCACCCCAACAAGGCCCUUUUCAGAACUCUUCGGAAAUGUUUGUCGGAUCUCCCUUUGCACCCUUUGUCUCUCUUUUAGAGACAGUGAACGGCCAUCGCUCAUGAUUUCUUUUAUUCCAAAAUUCUGCAUCUCCGCAACAACCUCAGACAGUCUCUUAGUUAUGCCUUCAAUGCCUAUAGAAACAUUUCGGCGAUUCACUAAGAAACAAGAAAGUCUUUUCAGACGCCUCUUGAUCCCUUUUUCGCCACCACUAGAUUCUUUCAAAACAAAGGAUUCGAUUAUAUCUUCAGCAUCAUAAACAAUGUCUUUGACAUCUUCCAAGAAGUUUCUCACUACUUCAUUCUCAUGUUUCUUGGCAUCUGCAUCUUUCAACAAUGACUGUAACUUUCUCAUCUGACGUUCUAGAUCAGCAACAUGCUCAUGCACUCCCUGUAAUCGCUCAGAUUCUCGACUCAGGAGGUCCCAGAGUUUCUCCACUCCAAACGCCACAACUCCCUCAGCCAGCACUGACACAACUAUCUCAGCCAUCACUGAUUUCCUGUUCCACCGUCAACACAUAAGCCAACAAAAUAAUACAAAAUCUGUCAGAGGAACUUUUUUUCUUAACUUAUUUUUAAUGAAAUAAUUUUAUUUUAUUUUUAAAUCUGAUUCGACCAUAAUAGAGGGCAAAAGACAGAUCGAAGCAAGUUAAGUCGACAAAUAUGAUGUAGAAAAACGUGAUAUACCUUUUAUGAAACAGAUCUGCAACUCGGUUCUAUCUGAUUUACCUUUCAGCGACGUUCUUUGGAAGAAGAGAUAUGAGUUGCAAUGAAAGAGCAAGUCAACUUUUGCAGUCGCUUCUAUCUGUAAUAAUGCAUGUGGAAGCUGAGUGAAGCAGGAUUUUGUGGCGUGUUGGAGAAAUUGAGUCAAUCCCAAGUAAGAGCUAUUGUGACACAAAGAACAUGUGUUUUAACUUGACAGGAAGGAUGACAGGUGAAAUCUGAUAGAAAAAAUCAGUGUCGUAGAAAUCAAAUGGUUUCUGGUUCUAAAGAUUUAAAGGACCUAAAUCUAAAGAAGAUGGAUAAGCUGGGUAUAGGGAAGCUCACACGUGGAUACUCAAGGUUUAAUGUCUUCAUAGGAGGUCUCGUAUCAGUAUUUAUGUGUCUGCCUUUUGUAAGUUGUGGAAUUUCUGUCUACAAUAGAGGUGAGACUAAUGCAGUUGAGAAUGGUGAAGACAUGGUUGAUAGCAGGAGGCAUGAGUUCUGAUAUGGUCAAGCCAGAAAAAAUAUAUUGUUGUGUAUUGAGUUGAGUCUAAGGCUAUAAGAGUUUAACAGCUUGUCAUAAGUUGAUAUGACUUAGACAUUUCAGUGUCUGAUCACUUUGGUGGAUCAAUGCCAAAAGUGGAAGCUUCGUUCAGAUUAGAGUUAUUGUGAUCUUCUUGUACAAAGAACUAGUUUGAAGGACUGUGGUAUAAAAGUUUGUGUCCAGUCUCUGACAAAAUUUCAAGGAAUGAACCAUGUAUAUACAGUCAAAGUCUUAAGACUGAUAGAAGAUCCACGUAAAGAGAAGUGAAGCUGAGGUUAAAGUCGCGUGAGUGUGUCUCUUAAAUGGUUAUUGUUCCAGGUGGAGCAAUUGGUAUUACAGAGAGCGAAAUACAUUCAGAAUGGGUUUGUUUCCGAGGUGGAACUAUAUUUUCAGAAGGAGUCUUGCCUUCUCAGAACGUUGAACAUCAAAGGAGGAUCUGAUGGAGUUUAAGAGGCUGCAUAUGUUUGAGUAUGUGAAGUUUUCUCAGGGUUAUCUUGCAGUGGGCUGAGCCUUGGUUGUCUGUCCAAAGUCUUCGUGAUAUUGGGUGUCAUGCAGCAUGUCCUGUUGGUAUAAACAGCAGUGCACAGAGGUUCAUGUUGGCUGUAUUAGAAGAAAAGUCAAAAAAAAUUUCUUCUGGCCUGGAGUGAAGAUUGAUGAAGAAUCAGUCGGAGUUUUGCAAAAAUCAGAAUAUGAUCAGGAAGUCUCUAAAUUUAAUGGAAGUAAGAUCAGUGAAACACAGAAGGCUGCAUAAAGUUGUCUAUUUGCAGCAGGAGGAAGUCAGCAGUAAUCUUCUCAGAAGAAAUACACUUACAGGUUGAUCAAGUGUGGAAGCUCAAUGUAAAGGAUGCUAGAGGAAAGAGUUGGUUCAAGUCUGCGAAAAGCAGGAGGCAAAGAAGCAAAGAUUUUGAUGGAUUAUGCACACUGUUGAAUGUGUUGCAGGUCUGUUACUGUUGAAGACACACAUCAUGAGCUCGAGUUUGAUGUGGAAGAAGCUGUAGAGAAUAUCUCAGGAGCAUCACAUGUUCUGUUGAUGAGAUAUAUGGUUAAAACGUACAAGGGGUGAACUACAAGCUACUGGUACUGGUCUGUUUGCUCAGGGAAUUGGACAAGGAACUUAUAUCGAAGGUAUUCACAACUAGGUGGAGCUGUGAGGCGUGAUCUGUUGACAUCCAACAGCGGUACAAGUUGGUUUUAAGGCUUAGUUGGCUAGACAGAUGGAUGUAAUUACAAAAAUGCAUUGCUUACUAACCUAAAGGUUUUGUUGAGAUUGUUUUGCAGGUUUGAAUCGAAGAUUGGUUCAUGAUGGGAACAUGUAUGUUUCUGGUUUUUGCAUAUGAUUCAUGAGUAAUUUGAUUUUAAACUCAGUGCACGAGGUGAAUCAAAUGAGUCGACAAGAGGAAUCAGGUUUGCAUAGAUAUAAAGGCUAUAUAUAAUUGCUGAAACAGUUUUAUGGUGUUUGAUAGAAACCAUGAUGAAAUCUGUGUGAUUGUUGAACUCCUAAGUGCUAGCUUUUAGAGUUGUCUCUUGGUUUAACAAUUUCUAAAUUCAUUAGUCUUGUUAAUGAGAUAUUCUUGAAUGGUUUCUCAGGUAUAUCAAAGAUCGAUAGGGGAUCAAUGGAGAGUAUUAGCUUAACACCAGUUUGUGUGAAAGCUGGUUAUGAUACUCAAAGGGGCAUUAGAAUGCCAAGAGUCUUCUAGAAGCAGUGUGGUUUACACAGCUGAAGUAUCCUUAGCAUUAUGUCUGGUUCAUUGAUUAUUAAUUAAGAUGAUUAAAUUUGUUUAAGUGGUUGCUGUACAUAAGGUUUCUUAUGCAGGUCACUGGAGAUGGAUAUUUACCAAGUUUGGAGCUGGAACUUCACAGUUCUAAGGCAGUUCACAGUGAAAAAGAGAGAUGUGAGAGACGGCAUUCGCUUAAGUAUCUUGGGUUCUCUUGGGUUUUUAUUCUCUUAACUUCUUCUUGUAAGGUUGAUUGGAUUGUAACCAACGGUGAUUGAGCUCCGUGUACAGCCACGAUGCGGUCGAUCAGAUUAAAAAGGUCAACUCGUUUGUGUUCUUUGAUAGAAGCUAAGUCAUUGAUUCUUGAAGUGAUCGGAUUCUUUGAAGCUCUUGUGUUCUUCUUGUAAGGUUGAUCGGAUUGUAACCAACGGUGAUUGAGCUCCGUGUACAGCCACACCGCGGUCGAUCAGAUUAAAAAGGUCAACUCGUUUGUGUUCUUUGAUAGAAGCUAAGUCAUGGAUUAUUGAAGUCAUGGAUUCUUGAAGUGAUCGGAUUCUUUGAAGCUCUUGUGUUCUUCUUGUAAGGUUGAUCGGAUUGUAACCAACGGUGAUUGAGCUCCGUGUACAGCCACACUGUGGUCGAUCAGAUUAAAAAGGUCAACUCGUUUGUGUUCUUGAUAGAAGCUAAGUCAUGGAUUCUUGAAGUCAUGGAUUCUUGAAGUGAUCGGAUUCUUUGAAGCUCUUGUGUUCUUCUUGUAAGGUUGAUCGGAUUGUAACCAACAGUGAUUGAGCUCCAUGUACAGCCACACCGCGGUCGAUCAGAUUAAAAAGGCCAACUCGUUUGUGUUCUUUGAUAGAAGCUAAGUCAUGGAUUCUUGAAGUCAUGGAUUCUUGAAGUGAUCGGAUUCUUUGAAGCUCUUGUGUUCUUCUUGUAAGGUUGAUCGGAUUGUAACCAACGGUGAUUGAGCUCCGUGUACAGCCACGCCACGGUCGAUCAGAAUAAAAAGGUCAACUCGUUUGUGUUCUUUGAUAGAAGCUAAGACAUGAAUUCUUGAAAGUCAUGGAUUCUUGAAGUGAUCGGAUUCUUUGAAGAUCUUGUGUUCUUCUUGUAAGGUUAAUCGGAUUGUAACCAACGGUGAUUGAGCUCCAUGUACAGCCACGCUGCGGUCGAUCAGAUUAAAAAGGCCAACUCGUUUGUGUUCUUUGAUAGAAGCUAAGUCAUGGAUUCUUGAAGUCAUGGAUUCUUGAAGUGAUCAGAUUCUUUGAAGCUCUUGUGUUCUUUGUUGGGGUCAAAAACGGUUACGACAAAUUUAAACAUUCAAAACGUUCGAGGAAGAAAAUAAGAGUUUCUCCGAAGAGUACUUUUCGAAAUAGAUUCUUCCUUACGAAAAAACUUGGCGGAAGAAAGAAUCGAGACGUCCGACGAAAGCUCGAAACAGGUCGUUACGUAGCGACCGAGCGAUCGUCCCGCUCGGUCGCUACGUAGCGACCGAGCUCAGCCAAGCUCGGUCGCUACGUAGCGACCGAGCGAUCGUCCCGCUCGGUCGCUACGUAGCGACCGAGCUCGAGCCAAAGCUCGGUCGCUACGUAGCGACCGAGCGAUCGUCCCGCUCGGUCGCUACGUAGCGACCGAGCUCAGCCAAGCUCGGUCGCUACGUAGCGACCGAGCGAUCGUCCCGCUCGGUCGCUACGUAGCGACCGAGCUCGAGCCAAAGCUCGGUUGCUACGUAGCGACCGAGCUCAGCCAAGCUCGGUCGCUACGUAGCGACCGAGCUCAAGCCGAAGCUCGGUCGCUACGUAGCGACCGAGCACUCGUUCCGCUCGGUCGCUACAUAGCGACCGGGCUCGAGCCAAAGAUCGGUCGCUGUAUAGCGAUUGAACCUUUCCGAACAUUGAUACGACACCAGUCCUUGCAUUCUCGUCAAACCUUCAAUGCUAUCUCCCGAAGACCGUAGCAAGCUCAGUUUAUGUUUCCCGCUACUCUAAUUCAUCGAUCAAACUUCGCGGAUUAGAAACCGCGGAAAACUCGUAGUAAACGUGUCGAGUCGGAAGACGGCCCAAAGGGACCUAAAACACGACUCGAGGCCCAUCCUACGAUUUUUCCUAACCAAAAGCCCGUGAACCACAGCAUGGUUCGCGCUUGGCCCGCGAGGAAGGAUAAAUGUCAAGUUUCCGCGGAUAAAUACGGAAGUUUUGAAGAUAAUUGUGAAGAUCGGGAAAAAUGGAAUAUCUCCAUUUUUAUGCUAUGACGGCUUAAGGGCAGAAGAGUAAAAGCGUAAACCGACCUUGGAGCUAGUAUAUAAGGAGUCCUAGGCGAGGAGCAGAGAAGAGACUUUUUCAGAGCAAACUUAGCACUUAGAGCGAUUUAGGCAACUUUCCGUUUUUGUUAUUUCGAGCUGCGACUCAAUUAGGUUUAGCCGUCUUAGGGUUGCUAGAACUAGGAAUCUCGCCGACAGCUCUCGAGCCCAGGCUUAUACCUUGUUGUAACGCUCAUACGCAGAUUCGGAAUAAGAUCUACUUUGCUCUCUUUUCGAUUUCUUAUUUUUAUCGUUGUUAUUUUCGUGUUCUGAUUGCUUGACGUGUGGUAAUUAACAGAUAUCCGGGUCCUCUGGGAAACUAGGGUUUUCUUAGUUUCCUUAUUUAAACGGAAAUCGACAGUGCGAAUUUCGGUUCCCACAGUUUGGCGCUAGAAGGAGGGGGACUUACGGAUCAAUCUAACUCGCAAAAACCACUCAACGAUCAGGACAGACAUGCGAGGUUCGACGUGCGCGAAUGUCAUCUCAUUCAGGGGGGGAGAAACGGUCGAUCGAGCCAAACCUCGGAACGAUCUCCUUGUUAUCGAGUUGACGAUUCGAGAUAUCGACGUCGCUAGAGUACUAAUCGAUACCGGAAGCUCGGCCGAUAUCAUCUUCAAAGACACUCUUGAAAAGAUGGGGAUCAGUCAAUCCGAGAUCGCAAAAUGCCCAAGCCCACUGCUAGGGCUUUCGGGGGAAACGACCAUGGCCUACGGAUCGAUUAGACUCGCUGUCAAAGCCGGAACCGUGACAAACAUCACAGAGUUUCUAGUCGUCGACCGCCCCGCAUCUUACAACGUUAUCAUGGGGACGCCAUGGCUGAACACCAUGCGCGCAAUCCCAUCAACCUACCAUCUUUGCCUCAAGUUCCCGACCCCUAACGGAGUCGAGGUAAUCUGGGGAAAUCCAAGAGUUUCUCAGGUCUGUUUCGCCGCGGAACUAAAACGAAAGAGACCGAUCCUCGAAAUUACUCCUAAGAAAGCGGAGAAAGAGACCUCCAGCAAAGAUACGCGAAGUCAGGAUUCAGCGGAAUUCUUCUGGCAAUCUCGUAUCUUCGCAGCUCUAGAUGAAAAACGCGAGCCAACUUGUGAACCCGUGGUAACGAUCUGUCUCGACGAAGCCUUCCCAGAACGCUGCGUCGAGAUCGGAGCCAAUCUCCACGAGCCUUUAAAGACAGAACUCAUAACCUGUCUAAAAAGAACCUUAAUACUUUCGCGUGGGCUGCGGAAGAUAUGCCAGGAAUCGACAUUAACAUAACAUGUCACGAGCUGAACAUCGACCCAACAUUCAAACCCGUCAAACAGAAAAGACGGAAGCUGGGACCCGAACGUGCUACCGCAGUAAACGAUGAGGUCGAAAAACUGCUUAAAGUUGGGUCGAUAACGGAAGUAAGAUACCCCGACUGGCUCGCCAACCCCGUAGUAGUCAAAAAGAAAAACGGGAAGUGGCGAGUUUGCGUAGAUUUUACCGACCUAAACAAGGCAUGUCCAAAGGAUAGCUUCCCUCUACCACAUAUCGAUCGAUUGGUAGAAGCAACGGCGGGCAACGAACUCCUAUCCUUCAUGGACGCUUUCUCAGGCUAUAAUCAAAUUAGGAUGAAUCCCGACGAUCGUGAGAAGACUGCGUUCAUUACCGAUCGCGGAACCUAUUGCUAUGAGGUAAUGCCCUUCGGCCUCAAAAACGCUGGAGCAACUUACCAACGACUCGUGAACCGAAUGUUCUCCAAACAACUCGGAAAAACGAUGGAAGUUUAUAUCGACGACAUGCUUGUCAAAUCCCUCAAAGCAAGGGAUCACGUGUCACAUCUCGAAGAAUGCUUCGCACAACUAAACUCCCAUAACAUGAAGCUCAACCCGACGAAAUGCAGAUUCGCCGUGGCAUCAGGAGAAUUCCUCGGCUACUUGGUCACCAACCGCGGUAUCGAAGCAAAUCCAAAACAGAUCAACGCUCUAAUCGAGAUGGCUUCGCCGAAGAAUAAACGGGAAGUCCAAAGACUGACCGGCAGAAUCGCAGCACUUAACCGAUUUAUCUCACGAUCAACAGAUAAGUGCCUGCCCUUCUACGACGUCCUGCGAGGAAAUAAAAAAUUCGAAUGGACGGAAGAGUGCGAAAACGCCUUCCAACAGCUGAAGCGUUAUUUAGCUACUCCUCCAGUCCUCGCAAAACCCGUGGAAGGAGAGCCUUUGUUCUUGUACAUCGCGGUAUCGGCAACAGCCGUAAGCGGAGUCCUGAUCAGGGAAGAACGCGGGGAGCAGAAACCUAUUUUUUACAUAAGCAAAACUUGCUGGAUGCCGAAUCUAGGUAUCCGUUGAUGGAAAAAUUGGCAUGCGCGGUCGUAACAUCGGCCCGAAAACUACGACCAUAUUUCCAAUCCCACACGAUUGUUAUCCUCACGACUUUUCCCUUACGGACAAUUUUGCAUAGCCCAAGUCAAUCAGGCCGAUUGGCGAAGUGGGCGGUCGAGUUGAGCGAGUAUGACAUCGAAUACCGACCAAGGACGAGCGCAAAAUCACAGGUGCUCGCGGACUUUUUGGUCGAACUUCCAACGGGAGCAAUAACCAACGAGGAACCAAAUUCCACCUGGCUCCUCCACGUCGACGGAUCUUCAUCCAAGCAAGGAUCGGGUAUCGGGAUCCGUCUCACAUCUCCAACAAGCGAGAUCCUGGAACAAUCGUUCAGACUGGAAUUCCAUGCCUCAAACAACGAGGCCGAAUACGAAGCAUUGAUCGCAGGUCUACGUUUGGCUCGCGGCUUAAAAAUACGCAAUCUCCACGCUUACUGCGACUCCCAGUUAGUGGCCAGUCAAUUCAGCGGAGAAUAUGAAGCCAGAGACGAACGGAUGGACGCGUACCUCAAACUGGUCCAAGGUCUAGCUCAAGACUUCGACUGUUUCGCCCUUACCCGGAUCCCCCGUUCCGAGAAUGUCCAGGCGGACGCCCUCGCGGCCUUAGCAUCAAGUUCCGAUCCAGGACUCAAAAGGGUAAUUCCGGUCGAGUUCAUCGAACAUCCGAGUAUCGGACCCCCAGUCAUUGUCAAUCUCAUAGAGGGUCAAGACGACGAGGAAGAAGAGAUUACGAUACCACCACCAUCGGAGCAAUCCGAUUACGGUUGUGAUACCCCAUGGCUUCAGACGAUUCGAGACUACAUUAUCGACGGGCAACUGCCCGCCGAAAAAUGGUCAGCUCGCAAGAUCCGAACACAGGCCGCACGCUACGUAACAGUGGACGGCGAAAUCUACAAGUGGAGAUUCUCCGGACCGCUCCUGACGUGCCUGGAAGGAGAAAAGGCGAGGAAAGUAAUGGAGGAAAUACAUUCCGGCUCAUGCGGCAACCAUUCCGGCGGAAGAUCACUAGCCGUGAAAAUCAAACGCCACGGGUACUAUUGGCCAACAAUGAUCGGAGAUUGCGAAAAAUUCGCACGAAAAUGCGAAAAAUGCCAAAGGCAUGCGCCAACUAUCCGACAACCGCCGAAGUUCUUUCCUCCAUCACGUCGCCUUAUCCCUUUAUGCGCUGGGCCAUGGAUAUUGUCGGACCUCUGCAUAAUUCAAAGCAAAAGCGUUUCCUUCUAGUCCUUACCGAUUUCUUCUCAAAAUGGGUAGAGGCGGACUCGUACGCGAGUAUAAAAGACGUCCAAGUCGAGAAUUUCGUAUGGAAAAACAUCAUCUGUAGGCAUGGAGUUCCUUACGAAAUCGUAACCGAUAACGGGUCUCAAUUUAUUUCCACCCGAUUCGAGGCAUUCUGCGAAAAGUGGAAGAUACGACUCAACAAGUCAACUCCCAGAUAUCCGCAGUGCAACGGACAGGCUGAAACAAUCAACAAGACCAUUCUCGACGGACUGAAGAAACGCUUGGAGCCAAAAAAGGUAGAUGGGCCGACGAACUCGAGGGAGUCCUCUGGUCUCACCGUACCACCCCAAGGCGAGCAACGGGAGAAACUCCCUUCGCCUUGGUAUACGGCGGAGUGCAUGAUUCCCGCAGAAGUAGAAUUUCCCGGUGUUCGAAGAAGGUUCUUACCCGAACGAGAGGAACUCAACAAUGCUAUGCUCUUGGACGAUCUCGACCUCAUUAACGAACGCCGCGGAUCGAGCGCUCAUCCGAAUUCAAAACUACCAGCACGCCGCUGCGAGAUACUAUAACUCCAACGUACGGAACCGAAGGUUCAAUCAGGGAGAUCUGGUCCUUCGCAAAGUCUUCCAAAACACCGCUGAACGAAACGCGGGAAAACUCGGAGCAAACUGGGAAGGUCCCUAUAAAAUCGAAAAAGUCGUCCGACCAGGUUCUUACGAAAUAGCCAACAUGCAGGGCAUAAAAAUCCCUAGAACCUGGAAUGCGAUGCAUCUCAAAAAAUACUAUCACUAAACGAACCAACUCGCAAUCACUGAACUACGAGACGGCUUGAUCUCCGCAAGGAGUACGUAGGCAGUUUGCCGAAAGGCAAAUUCAGCUGUCCUCCCUUAUUAAAAGGGGGGGAGUGGGUACGUAUACUCGUAUACUCCCAAAAAAUCGAAAAACUUCUUACCGCACUUUUGGUGUUUUCGACUUAUCAAAACAUCCUCACCCGCGAAAUCGCAACGAGGUCUUCGGAAAUUGGUCGGCCGCUUGGGAGAAUCGAACCUUUAGCAUCGCGAGACGUCGCAAAAGAUGCCUCAAAAUUGGUUUCUUCCGAGCAAACGAAAUCUCCGCAAAAAGACACAUAUAUGCACACAUUAACAUUUAUUUUGCGCAAAUUAAUCAAAACAACGGCACACGCCACCAAGUCCGAUGCUGAUCACAUCGAACUCACAAACGUCCUAAACAGACAUAGCCAUCUCAUGGAGAUGACUCUCUUACAUCCGACACAAGGAUAAUAGCGCUAUAAAAGAAAUCCGAAAUUUUGGUCUAGCACUUCCGGUCUCCGGAGAGAUGCUCGAUUCGUAUCAAACAAGUCGUAUAAGCCGAGAACUUUUCGCGGACUUUACAUCGAUACGAUCAGACGAAUCAGAAGAAAUCGCGACAGGAAAAACGAUAGCCGGUUAGUCACCGCACAAUCCUUAAACCGAAAGUAAACCUAGGUCUUGCCCUAAACCCAGCGCACUGGUCUCUAACAUCUCAAAGGCAUGAUAUCAAAAGAUAAGAGAUUCUUAAACCACGCCUCUAUGUUUACGUUCGAUACCUUCAGCGCCCCCGCAGAGUUCACAUCUCGCGGAAGAACUCUCGAAACAGGUCUCGAAUAAAACAUUUCACAAUCGAAGAAGGAUAUGAGACGACAACUCAUCACCUUCCUCCCCACUAUUCACAAAUUCAUAAAAAACGUUAUCCGAUUAUCAUACCAUAAAGCCGCGGAGCGGCAGGGAUUCAAAGCCACACACGGCCAGUCCCGAAAUACAAACAAGGCCGUUCAAGGCCGAAGCAUAAAGACAUAAAAAAAAAAAAAAAUCUCUCGCAAGAGAUCUAACCCAAGUCACCCUCAGAACUCACGCUCCCUCUUCACCCGCCGCCUCGUCCGAGCCUGGAGCCGCGUCGCUUCCGUUCUCUCCGACCAUUGGAUCUUUCCCCUCUGGGUCUUCUGGACACGUCGGAAGGAAGCAAGCGGAUUUUAGGUCGGCCAGGAUGAGAUCGAAAUCGCCAUCCUCGGCCGCCAUAUCUCCCUUGCAGCCGGACAGUCGGGCCUCUUCGGCCUCCAAGGUCGGGGGAGUCUCACUUUGGAGCGACACCGAACCACGGCCAUCCCGCCCUCAAUCGUCGCCAAAGCGAAAUCCCUGCUCCGGAUACGCUCGAGGGAACCCAGGGAAGCAGAAAUCUUCGCCAAGCGAGCCUGAAACUCCGCACGAAGGGCAUCCGUAGCCUCUUGGAUCCCGCGGCGCGCUAGUCCAGCGUCACUCUCGAUCUGACGCUGGAGUAGACGCACCUCCGAGGAUUUGGCCUUCCUGGUUUUCUUUUCCUUAAGCAAAGAACUCGCCGUCUUCCCGAGGUCCCUCUCAAGCUCUCCUAUCGCAACCUCGAGCUUCGACACUUUCGCAGAGUGAGAGUCCUCAACAGCCGUCAACAUAGCCUCGGUUUCGGACCAUCUGCCCUGAAGCUCCACCAACUCCCCGGAAAGACGACUGGUCUCAGAACCACAUUCGCUGAUCAUCCCAUCGAUCAACGAUAUGAACUGCGAACAAAAAAAUUUCUUAAGACUAAGUCCAUGAAAAGAAUGCACGACAGACGAUCGAGAAUUCAAACAAAAAACAAACCUUUCCGCGAAGUCCCGACGCUAGGCUCGACCCACCUCGCUGCGAAGUCUCCCCGUCACCGCUCUUGGCCAGUUUCCUCUUCCGACUCUUAGGCUGAGUAGCCUGGACAGCGCUAGGAGCACGCAAUGCCAGAACGAUUUCUUUUCUGGCUGGAGGCGGAGGCAUAGAGUCAGCGGCCUUCUCUUUGUCCUCGACGAGGAUCGGAGUCGUGGAAGAUCCCGCAGGUAGGACUUGCGGGGGAAGAGCCGCGAAGCCGGUCCCGUGACACGGGGCAACGACCUGCGCGGAGGAAGACGGGAAACUCGGAGCCAGUCUGAGCCAAUUCUUUCUCGGCUUGGCGACGAACUAGUUUCUCUCGGAAAGAAAGAUGACCGGCAACACAAGCCGGCACUUCCGCCGGAGAAGUUGGAACCGGAGCCAGAGAGGUGGCCUCACCCAUCUCGACGUCGGAAUCCUUCUUAUCACCUUGGGAGGAAGACAUGUUGAAAGGAAAGUUAUGAAACUAGAGAGGUUUUGAAGAAAAUGAAGGAGGAAAGGUGUGAAGAAAAUGAAUGACAAGAGCUCACUACUUAUAGAAGUAUGGGUUCGGAAUGUCGCCUCGACAACUUUUUUCCGCGGAGUUUUAACUGUAAAUUUCGUUCCAAUACACUUAACCUUGUCAAAGUCAUCUAUCCGCCCGCUAGAGUCACAACUCUAACGGGCUGGGGGGCUAACUGUUGGGGUCAAAAACGGUUACGACAAAUUUAAACAUUCAAAACGUUCGAAGAAGAAAAUAAGAGUUUCUCCGAAGAGUACUUUUCGAAAUAGAUUCUUCCUUACGAAAAACUUGGCGGAAGAGAGAACGAAAAGAAAAGAAUCGAGACGUCCGACGAAAGCUCGAAACAGGUCGUUACGUAGCGACCGACGAUCGUCCCGCUCGGUCGCUACGUAGCGACCGAGCUCGAGCCAAGCUCGGUCGCUACGUAGCGACCGAGCGAUCGCUCCCGCUCGGUCGCUACGUAGCGACCGAGCGAUCGUCCCGCUCGGUCGCUACGUAGCGACCGAGCUCGCCAAGCUCGGUCGCUACGUAGCGACCGAGCGAUCGUCCCGCUCGGUCGCUACGUAGCGACCGAGCUCGAGCCAAAGCUCGGUCGCUACGUAGCGACCGAGCGAUCGUCCCGCUCGGUCGCUACGUAGCGACCGAGCUAGCCAAGCUCGGUCGCUACGUAGCGACCGAGCGAUCGUCCCGCUCGGUCGCUACGUAGCGACCGAGCUCGGCCAAAGCUCGGUCGCUACGUAGCGACCGAGCGAUCGUCCCGCUCGGUCGCUACGUAGCGACCGAGCUCAACCGAAGCUCGGUCGCUACGUAGCGACGAGAGCACUCGUCGCUCGGUCGCUACAUAGCGACCGGGCUCGAGCCAAAGAUCGGUCGCUGUAUAGCGAUUGAACCUUUCCGAACAUCGAUACGACACCAGUCCUUGCAUUCUCGUCAAACCUUCGAAUGCUAUCUCCCGAAGACCGUAGCAAGCUCAGUUUAUGUUUCCCGCUAUUCUAAUUCAUCGAUCAAACUUCGCGGAUUAGAAACCGCGGAAAAAUCGUAGUAAACGUGUCGAGUCGGAAGACGGCCCAAAGGGACCUAAAACACGACUCGAGGCCCAUCCUACGAUUUUUCCUAACCAAAAGCCCGUGAACCACAGCAUGGUUCGCGCUUGGCCCGCGAGGAAGGAUAAAUGUCAAGUUUCCGCGGAUAAAUACGGAAGUUUUGAAGAUAAUUGUGAAGAUCGGGAAAAAUGGAAUAUCUCCAUUUUUAUGCUAUGACGGCUUAAGGGCAGAAGAGUAAAAGCGUAAACCGACCUUGGAGCUAGUAUAUAAGGAGUCCUAGGCGAGGAGCAGAGAAGAGACUUUUUCAGAGCAAACUUAGCACUUAGAGCGAUUUAGGCAACUUUCCGUUUUUGUUAUUUCGAGCUGCGACUCAAUUAGGUUUAGCCGUCUUAGGGUUGCUAGAACUAGGAAUCUCGCCGACAGCUCUCGAGCCCAGGCUUAUACCUUGUUGUAACGCUCAUACGCAGAUUCGGAAUAAGAUCUACUUUGCUCUCUUUUCGAUUUCUUAUUUUUAUCGUUGUUAUUCUCGUGUUCUGAUUGCUUGACGUGUGGUAAUUAACAGAUAUCCGGGUCCUCUGGGAAACUAGGGUUUUCUUAGUUUCCUUAUUUAAACGGAAAUCGACAGUGCGAAUUUCGGUUCCCACAUUCUUCUUGUAAGGUGAUCGGAUUGUAACCAACGUGAUUGAGCUCCGUGUACAGCCACGCCACAGUCGAUCAGAUUUAAAAGGUCAACUCGUUUGUGUUCUUUGAUAGAAGCUAAGCAUGGAUUAUUGAAGUCAUGGAUCUUGAAGUGAUCGGAUUCUUUGAAGCAAGGUUGAUCGGAUUGUAACCAACGGUGAUUGAGCUCCGUUACAGCCACGCUGUGUGUCGAUCAGAUUAAAAAGGUCAACUCGUUUGUGUCUUUGAUAGAAGCUAAGUCAUGGAUUCUUGAAGUCAUGGAUUCUUGAAGUGAUCGGAUUCUUUGAAGCUCUGUGUUUCUUCUUGUAAGGUUGAUCGGAUUGUAACCAACAGUGAUUGAGCUCCAUGUACAGCCACACCGCGGUCGAUCAGAUUAAAAAGGCCAACUCGCUUGUGUUCUUUGAUAGAAGCUAAGUCAUGGAUUCUUGAAGUCAUGGAUUCUUGAAGUGAUCGGAUUCUUUAAAGCUCUUGUGUUCUUCUUGUAAGGUGAUCGGAUUGUAACCAACGGUGAUUGAGCUCCGUGUACAGCCACGCCACGGUCGAUCAGAUUAAAAAGGUCAACUCGUUUGUGUUUCUUUGAUAGAAGCUAAGACAUGGAUUCUUGAAAGUCAUGGAUUCUUGAAGUGAUCGGAAUAUUUGAAGCUCUUGUGUUCUUCUUGUAAGGUUGAUCGGAUUGUAACCAACGGUGAUUGAGCUCCAUGUACAGCCACGCUGCGGUCGAUCAGAUUAAAAAGGUCAACUCGUUUGUGUUCUUUGAUAGAAGCUAAGUCAUGGAUUAUUGAAGUCAUGGAUUCUUGAAGUGAUCGGAUUCUUGAAGCUCUUGUGUUCUUCUUGUAAGGUUGAUCGGAUUGUAACCAACGGUGAUUGAGCUCCGUGUAAAGCCACACCACGGUCGAUCAGAUUAAAAAGGUCAACUCGUUUGUGUUCUUUGAUAGAAGCUAAGUCAUGGAUUCUUGAAGUCAUGGAUUCUUGAAGUGAUCGGAUUCUUUGAAGCUCUUUUGUUCUUCUUGUAAGGUUGAUCGGAUUGUAACCAACGGUGAGUGAGAUCCGUGUACAGCCAAGCCAUGGUCGAUCAGAUUAAAAAGGUCAACUCGUUUGUGUUCUUUGAUAGAAGCUAAGUCAUGGAUUCUUGAAGUCUAUGGUGAUCAAAGGGGUUUGAUUUUCAACAUAAACAAACUAAUAAUAAGAUGAGUAAAUGCCUCAACUUCGUGAAACAAGAUUUCUUAAUAAUCCAAAUAUGUUUUGUUUUUUUUAUCUGAUUCGACUACAACAGAGCGCAAAGAAGACAGAUCAAAGCAAGUUACGCAGAAAAAANNNNNNNNNNNNNNNNNNNNNNNNNNNNNNNNNNNNNNNNNNNNNNNNNNNNNNNNNNNNNNNNNNNNNNNNNNNNNNNNNNNNNNNNNNNNNNNNNNNNUUACGUAGCGACCGAGCGAUCGUCCCGCUCGGUCGCUACGUAGCGACCGAGCUAGCCAAAGCUCGGUCGCUACGUAGCGACCGAGCGAUUUCUCCCGCUCGGUCGCUACGUAGCGACCGAGCUCGAGCCAAAGCUCGGUCGCUACGUAGCGACCGAGCGAUCGUCCCGCUCGGUCGCUACGUAGCGACCGAGCUCAGCCAAGCUCGGUCGCUACGUAGCGACCGAGCGAUCGUCCCGCUCGGUCGCUACGUAGCGACCGAGCUCGAGCAAAGCUCGUCGCUACGUAGCGACCGAGCGAUCGCCCGCUCGGUCGCUACGUAGCGACCGAGCUCAAGCCGAAGCUCGGUCGCUACGUAGCGACCGAGCACUCGUUCCGCUCGGUCGUCGCUACAUAGCGACCGGGCUCGAGCCAAAGUUCGGUCGCUGUGUAGCGAUUGAACCUUUCCGAACAUCGAUACGACACCAGUCCUUGCAUUCUCGUCAAACCUUCGAAUGCUAUCUCCCGAAGACCGUAGCAAGCUCAGUCUAUGUUUCCCGCUAUUCUAAUUCAUCGAUCAAACUUCGCGGAUUAGAAACCGCGGAAAACUCGUAGUAAACGUGUCGAGUCGGAAGACGGCCCAAAGGGACCUAAAACACGACUCGAGGCCCAUCCUACGAUUUUUCCUAACCAAAAGCCCGUGAACCACAGCAUGGUUCGCGCUUGGCCCACGAGGAAGGAUAAAUGUCAAGUUUCCGCGGAUAAAUACGGAAGUUUUGAAGAUAAUUGUGAAGAUCGGGAAAAAUGGAAUAUCUCCAUUUUUAUGCUAUGACGGCUUAAGGGCAGAAGAGUAAAAGCGUAAACCGACCUUGGAGCUAGUAUAUAAGGAGUCCUAGGCGAGGAGCAGGGAGAGAACUUUUUCAGAGCAAACUUAGCACUUAGAGCGAUUUAGGCAACUUUCCGUUUUUGUUAUUUCGAGCUGCGACUCAAUUAGGUUUAGCCGUCUUAGGGUUGCUAGAACUAGGAAUCUCGCCGACAGCUCUCGAGCCCAGGCUUAUACCUUGUUGUAACGCUCAUACGCAGAUUCGGAAUAAGAUCUACUUUGCUCUCUUUUCGAUUUCUUAUUUUUAUCGUUGUUAUUCUCGUGUUCUGAUUGCUUGACGUGUGGUAAUUAACAGAUAUCCGGGUCCUCUGGGAAACUAGGGUUUUCUUAGUUUCCUUAUUUAAACGGAAAUCGACAGUGCGAAUUUCGGUUCCCACAGUUUGGCGCUAGAAGGAGGGGGACUUACGGAUCAAUCUAACCGCAAAAAACCACUCAACGAUCAGGAAAGACAUGCGAGAUUCGACGUGCGCGAAUGUCAUCUCAUUCAGGGGGGAGAAACGGUCGAUCGAGCCAAACCUCGGAACGAUCUCCUUGUUAUCGAGUUGACAAUUCGAGAUAUCGACGUCGCUAGAGUACUAAUCGAUACCGGAAGCUCGGCCGAUAUCAUCUUCAAAGACACUCUUGAAAAGAUGGGGAUCAGUCAAUCCGAGAUCGCAAAAUGCCCAAGCCCACUGCUAGGGCUUUCGGGGGAAACGACCAUGGCCUACGGAUCGAUUAGACUCGCUGUCAAAGCCGGAACCGUGACAAACAUCACAGAGUUUCUAGUCGUCGACCGCCCCGCAUCUUACAACGUUAUCAUGGGGACGCCAUGGCUGAACACCAUGCGCGCAAUCCCAUCAACCUACCAUCUUUGCCUCAAGUUCCCGACCCCUAACGGAGUCGAGGUAAUCUGGGGAAAUCCAAGAGUUUCUCAGGUCUGUUUCGCCGCGGAACUAAAACGAAAGAGACCGAUCCUCGAAAUUACUCCUAAGAAAGCGGAGAAGAGACCUCCAGCAAAGAUACGCGAAGUCAGGAUUCAGCGGAAUUCUUCUGGCAAUCUCGUAUCUUCGCAGCUCUAGAUGAAAAACGCGAGCCAACUUGUGAACCCGUGGUAACGAUCUGUCUCGACGAAGCCUUCCCAGAACGCUGCGUCGAGAUCGGAGCCAAUCUCCACGAGCCUUUAAAGACAGAACUCAUAACCUGUCUUAAAAAGAACCUUAAUACUUUCGCGUGGGCUGCGGAAGAUAUGCCAGGAAUCGACAUUAACAUAACAUGUCACGAGCUGAACAUCGACCCAACAUUCAAACCCGUCAAACAGAAAAGACGGAAGCUGGGACCCGAACGUGCUACCGCAGUAAACGAUGAGGUCGAAAAACUGCUUAAAGUUGGGUCGAUAACGGAAGUAAGAUACCCCGACUGGCUCGCCAACCCCGUAGUAGUCAAAAAGAAAAACGGGAAGUGGCGAGUUUGCGUAGAUUUUACCGACCUAAACAAGGCAUGUCCAAAGGAUAGCUUCCCUCUACCACAUAUCGAUCGAUUGGUAGAAGCAACGGCGGGCAACGAACUCCUAUCCUUCAUGGACGCUUUCUCAGGCUAUAAUCAAAUUAGGAUGAAUCCCGACGAUCGUGAGAAGACUGCGUUCAUUACCGAUCGCGGAACCUAUUGCUAUGAGGUAAUGCCCUUCGGCCUCAAAAACGCUGGAGCAACUUACCAACGACUCGUGAACCGAAUGUUCUCCAAACAACUCGGAAAAACGAUGGAAGUUUAUAUCGACGACAUGCUUGUCAAAUCCCUCAAAGCAAGGGAUCACGUGUCACAUCUCGAAGAAUGCUUCGCACAACUAAACUCCCAUAACAUGAAGCUCAACCCGACGAAAUGCAGAUUCGCCGUGGCAUCAGGAGAAUUCCUCGGCUACUUGGUCACCAACCGCGGUAUCGAAGCAAAUCCAAAACAGAUCAACGCUCUAAUCGAGAUGGCUUCGCCGAAGAAUAAACGGGAAGUCCAAAGACUGACCGGCAGAAUCGCAGCACUUAACCGAUUUAUCUCACGAUCAACAGAUAAGUGCCUGCCCUUCUACGACGUCCUGCGAGGAAAUAAAAAAUUCGAAUGGACGGAAGAGUGCGAAAACGCCUUCCAACAGCUGAAGCGUUAUUUAGCUACUCCUCCAGUCCUCGCAAAACCCGUGGAAGGAGAGCCUUUGUUCUUGUACAUCGCGGUAUCGGCAACAGCCGUAAGCGGAGUCCUGAUCAGGGAAGAACGCGGGGAGCAGAAACCUAUUUUUUACAUAAGCAAAACCUUGCUGGAUGCCGAAUCUAGGUAUCCGUUGAUGGAAAAAUUGGCAUGCGCGGUCGUAACAUCGGCCCGAAAACUACGACCAUAUUUCCAAUCCCACACGAUUGUUAUCCUCACGACUUUUCCCUUACGGACAAUUUUGCAUAGCCCAAGUCAAUCAGGCCGAUUGGCGAAGUGGGCGGUCGAGUUGAGCGAGUAUGACAUCGAAUACCGACCAAGGACGAGCGCAAAAUCACAGGUGCUCGCGGACUUUUUGGUCGAACUUCCAACGGGAGCAAUAACCAACGAGGAACCAAAUUCCACCUGGCUCCUCCACGUCGACGGAUCUUCAUCCAAGCAAGGAUCGGGUAUCGGGAUCCGUCUCACAUCUCCAACAAGCGAGAUCCUGGAACAAUCGUUCAGACUGGAAUUCCAUGCCUCAAACAACGAGGCCGAAUACGAAGCAUUGAUCGCAGGUCUACGUUUGGCUCACGGCUUAAAAAUACGCAAUCUCCACGCUUACUGCGACUCCCAGUUAGUGGCCAGUCAAUUCAGCGGAGAAUAUGAAGCCAGAGACGAACGGAUGGACGCGUACCUCAAACUGGUCCAAGGUCUAGCUCAAGACUUCGACUGUUUCGCCCUUACCCGGAUCCCCCGUUCCGAGAAUGUCCAGGCGGACGCCCUCGCGGCCUUAGCAUCAAGUUCCGAUCCAGGACUCAAAAGGGUAAUUCCGGUCGAGUUCAUCGAACAUCCGAGUAUCGGACCCCCAGUCGUUGUCAAUCUCAUAGAGGGUCAAGACGACGAGGAAGAAGAGAUUACGAUACCACCACCAUCGGAGCAAUCCGAUUACGGUUGUGAUACCCCAUGGCUUCAGACGAUUCGAGACUACAUUAUCGACGGGCAACUGCCCGCCGAAAAAUGGUCAGCUCGCAAGAUCCGAACACAGGCCGCACGCUACGUAACAGUGGACGGCGAAAUCUACAAGUGGAGAUUCUCCGGACCGCUCCUGACGUGCCUGGAAGGAGAAAAGGCGAGGAAAGUAAUGGAGGAAAUACAUUCCGGCUCAUGCGGCAACCAUUCCGGCGGAAGAUCACUAGCCGUGAAAAUCAAACGCCACGGGUACUAUUGGCCAACAAUGAUCGGAGAUUGCGAAAAAUUCGCACGAAAAUGCGAAAAAUGCCAAAGGCAUGCGCCAACUAUCCGACAACCGCCGAAGUUCUUUCCUCCAUCACGUCGCCUUAUCCCUUUAUGCGCUGGGCCAUGGAUAUUGUCGGACCUCUGCAUAAUUCAAAGCAAAAGCGUUUCCUUCUAGUCCUUACCGAUUUCUUCUCAAAAUGGGUAGAGGCGGACUCGUACGCGAGUAUAAAAGACGUCCAAGUCGAGAAUUUCGUAUGGAAAACAUCAUCUGUAGGCAUGGAGUUCCUUACGAAAUCGUAACCGAUAACGGGUCUCAAUUUAUUUCCACCCGAUUCGAGGCAUUCUGCGAAAAGUGGAAGAUACGACUCAACAAGUCAACUCCCAGAUAUCCGCAGUGCAACGGACAGGCUGAAACAAUCAACAAGACCAUUCUCGACGGACUGAAGAAACGCUUGGAGGCCAAAAAAGGUAGAUGGGCCGACGAACUCGAGGGAGUCCUCUGGUCUCACCGUACCACCCCAAGGCGAGCAACGGGAGAAACUCCCUUCGCCUUGGUAUACGGCGCGGAGUGCAUGAUUCCCGCAGAAGUAGAAUUUCCCGGUGUUCGAAGAAGGUUCUUACCCGAACGAGAGGAACUCAACAAUGCUAUGCUCUUGGACGAUCUCGACCUCAUUAACGAACGCCGGGAUCGAGCGCUCAUCCGAAUUCAAAACUACCAGCACGCCGCUGCGAGAUACUAUAACUCCAACGUACGGAACCGAAGGUUCAAUCAGGGAGAUCUGGUCCUUCGCAAAGUCUUCCAAAACACCGCUGAACGAAACGCGGGAAAACUCGGAGCAAACUGGGAAGGUCCCUAUAAAAUCGAAAAAGUCGUCCGACCAGGUUCUUACGAAAUAGCCAACAUGCAGGGCAUAAAAAUCCCUAGAACCUGGAAUGCGAUGCAUCUCAAAAAAUACUAUCACUAAACGAACCAACUCGCAAUCACUGAACUACGAGACGGCUUGAUCUCCGCAAGGAGUACGUAGGCAGUUUGCCGAAAGGCAAAUUCAGCUGUCCUCCCUUAUUAAAAAGGGGGGAGUGGGUACGUAUACUCGUAUACUCCCAAAAAAUCGAAAAACUUCUUACCGCACUUUUGGUGUUUUCGACUUAUCAAAACAUCCUCACCCGCGAAAUCGCAACGAGGUCUUCGGAAAUUGGUCGGCCGCUUGGGAGAAUCGAACCUUUAGCAUCGCGAGACGUCGCAAAAGAUGCCUCAAAAUUGAUUUCUUCCGAGCAAACGAAAUCUCCGCAAAAAGACACAUAUAUGCACACAUUAACAUUUAUUUUGCGCAAAUUAAUCAAAACAACGGCACACGCCACCAAGUCCGAUGCUGAUCACAUCGAACUCACAAACGUCCUAAACAGACAUAGCCAUCUCAUGGAGAUGACUCUCUUACAUCCGACACAAGGAUAAUAGCGCUAUAAAAGAAAUCCGAAAUUUUGGUCUAGCACUUCCGGUCUCCGGAGAGAUGCUCGAUUCGUAUCAAACAAGUCGUAUAAGCCGAGAACUUUUCGCGGACUUUACAUCGAUACGAAUCAGGAAGAAAUCGCGACAGGAAAAACGAUAGCCGGUUAGUCACCGCACAAUCCUUAAACCGAAAGUAAACCUAGGUCUUGCCCUAAACCCAGCGCACUGGUCUCUAACAUCUCAAAGGCAUGAUAUCAAAAGAUAAGAGAUUCUUAAACCACGCCUCUAUGUUUACGUUCGAUACCUUCAGCGCCCCCGCAGAGUUCACAUCUCGCGGAAGAACUCUCGAAACAGGUCUCGAAUAAAACAUUUCACAAUCGAAGAAGGAUAUGAGACGACAACUCAUCACCUUCCUCCCCACUAUUCACAAAUUCAUAAAAAACGUUAUCCGAUUAUCAUACCAUAAAGCCGCGGAGCGGCAGGGAUUCAAAGCCACACACGGCCAGUCCCGAAAUACAAACAAGGCCGUUCAAGGCCGAAGCAUAAAGACAUAAAAAAAAAAACAAAUCUCUCGCAAGAGAUCUAACCCAAGUCACCCUCAGAACUUACGCUCCCUCUUCACCCGCCGCCUCGUCCGAGCCUGGAGCCACGUCGCUUCCGUUCUCUCCGACCAUCGGAUCUUUCCCCUCUGGGUCUUCUGGACACGUCGGAAGGAAGCAAGCGGAUUUUAGGUCGGCCAGGAUGAGAUCGAAAUCGCCAUCCUCGGCCGCCAUAUCUCCCUUGCAGCCGGACAGUCGGGCCUCUUCGGCCUCCAAGGUCGGGGGAGUCUCACUUUGGAACGACCGAACCACGGCCAUCCCGCCCUCAAUCGUCGCCAAAGCGAAAUCCCUGCUCCGGAUACGCUCGAGGGAACCCAGGGAAGCAGAAAUCUUCGCCAAGCGAGCCUGAAACUCCGCACGAAGGGCAUCCGUAGCCUCUUGGAUCCCGCGGCGCGCUAGUCCAGCGUCACUCUCGAUCUGACGCUGGAGUCGACGCACCUCCGAGGAUUUGGCCUUCCUGGUUUUCUUUUCCUUAAGCAAGGAACUCGCCGUCUUCCCGAGGUCCCUCUCAAGCUCUCCUAUCGCAACCUCGAGCUUCGACACUUUCGCAGAGUGAGAGUCCUCGACAGCCGUCAACAUAGCCUCGGUUUCGGACCAUCUGCCCUGAAGCUCCACCAACUCCCCGGAAAGACGACUGGUCUCAGAACCACAUUCGCUGAUCAUCCCAUCGAUCAACGAUAUGAACUGCGAACAAAAAAAUUCUUAAGACUAAGUCCAUGAAAAGAAUGCACGACAGACGAUCGAGAAUUCAAACAAAAACAAACCUUUCCGCGAAGUCCCGAUGCUAGGCUCGACCCACCUCGCUGCGAAGUCUCCCCGUCACCGCUCUUGGCCAGUUUCCUCUUCCGACUCUUAGGCUGAGUAGCCUGGACAGCGCUAGGAGCACGCAAUGCCAGAACGAUUUCUUUUCUGGCUGGAGGCGGAGGCAUAGAGUCAGCGGCCUUCUCUUUGUCCUCGACGAGGAUCGGAGUCGUGGAAGAUCCCGCAGGUAGGACUUGCGGGGGAAGAGCCGCGAGCCGGUCCCGUGACACGGGGCAACGACCUGCGCGGAGGAAGACGGAACUCGGAGCCAGUCUGAGCCAAUUCUUUCUCGGCUUGGCGACGAACUAGUUUCUCUCGGAAAGAAAGAUGACCGGCAACACAAGCCGGCACUUCCGCCGGAGAAGUUGGAACCGGAGCCAGAGAGGUGGCCUCACCCAUCUCGACGUCGGAAUCCUUCUUAUCACCUUGGGAGGAAGACAUGUUGAAAGGAAAGUUAUGAAACUAGAGAGGUUUUGAAGAAAAUGAAGGAGGAAAGGUGUGAAGAAAUGAAUGACAAGAGCUCACUACUUAUAGAAGUAUGGGUUCGGAAUGUCGCCUCGACAACUUUUUUCCGCGAAGUUUUAACUGUAAAUUUCGUCCAAUACACUUAACCUUGUCAAAGUCAUCUAUCCGCCCGCUAGAGUCACAACUCUAACGGGCUGGGGGGCUAACUGUUGGGGUCAAAAACGGUUACGACAAAUUUAAACAUUCAAAACGUUCGAGGAAGAAAAUAAGAGUUUCUCCGAAGAGUACUUUUCGAAAUAGAUUCUUCCUUACGAAAAAACUUGGCGGAAGAAAGAAUCGAGACGUCCGACGAAAGCUCGAAACAGGUCGUUACGUAGCGACCGAGCGAUCGUCCCGCUCGGUCGCUACGUAGCGACCGAGCUCGAGCCAAAGCUCGGUCGCUACAUAGCGACCGAGCGAUCGUCCCGCUCGGUCGCUACGUAGCGACCGAGCGAUCGUCCCGCUCUGUCGCUACGUAGCGACCGAGCUCGCCAAGCUCGGUCGCUACGUAGCGACCGAGCGAUCGUCCCGCUCGGUCGCUACGUAGCGACCGAGCUCGAGCCAAAGCUCGGUCGCUACGUAGCGACCGAGCGAUCGUCCCGCUCGGUCGCUACGUAGCGACCGAGCUCAGCCAAGCUCGGUCGCUACGUAGCGACCGAGCGAUCGUCCCGCUCGGUCGCUACGUAGCGACCGAGCUCGGCCAAAGCUCGGUCGCUACGCAGCGACCGGCGAUCGUCCCGCUCGGUCGCUACGUAGCGACCGAGCUCAAGCCGAAGCUCGGUCGCUACGUAGCGACCGAGCACUCGUUCCGCUCGGUCGCUACAUAGCGACCGGGCUCGAGCCAAAGAUCGGUCGCUGUAUAGCGAUUGAAACUUUCCGAACAUUGAUACGACACCAGUCCUUGCAUUCUCGUCAAACCUUCAAUGCUAUCUCCCGAAGACCGUAGCAAGCUCAGUUUAUGUUUCCCGCUACUCUAAUUCAUCGAUCAAACUUCGCGGAUUAGAAACCGCGGAAAACUCGUAGUAAACGUGUCGAGUCGGAAGACGGCCCAAAGGGGACCUAAAACACGACUCGAGGCCCAUCCUACGAUUUUUCCUAACCAAAAGCCCGUGAACCACAGCAUGGUUCGCGCUUGGCCCGCGAGGAAGGAUAAAUGUCAAGUUUCCGCGGAUAAAUACGGAAGUUUUGAAGAUAAUUGUGAAGAUUGGGAAAAAUGGAAUAUCUCCAUUUUUAUGCUAUGACGGCUUAAGGGCAGAAGAGUAAAAGCGUAAACCGACCUUGGAGCUAGUAUAUAAGGAGUCCUAGGCGAGGAGCAGAGAAGAGACUUUUUCAGAGCAAACUUAGCACUUAGAGCGAUUUAGGCAACUUUCCGUUUUUGUUAUUUCGAGCUGCGACUCAAUUAGGUUUAGCCGUCUUAGGGUUGCUAGAACUAGGAAUCUCGCCGACAGCUCUCGAGCCCAGGCUUAUACCUUGUUGUAACGCUCAUACGCAGAUUCGGAAAUAAGAUCUACUUUGCUCUCUUUUCGAUUUCUUAUUUUUAUCGUUGUUAUUUUCGUGUUCUGAUUGCUUGACGUGUGGUAAUUAACAGAUAUCCGGGUCCUCUGGGAAACUAGGGUUUUCUUAGUUUCCUUAUUUAAACGGAAAUCGACAGUGCGAAUUUCGGUUCCCACAUUCUUCUUGUAAGGUUGAUCGGAUUGUAACCAACGGUGAUUGAGCUCCGUGUACAGCCACGCCACAGUCGAUCAGAUUAAAAAGGUCAACUCGUUUGUGUUCUUUGAUAGAAGCUAAGUCAUGGAUUAUUGAAGUCAUGGAUUCUUGAAGUGAUCGGAUUCUUUGAAGCAAGGUUGAUCGGAUUGUAACCAACGGUGAUUGAGCUCCGUGUACAGCCACGCUGUGGUCGAUCAGAUUAAAAAGGUCAACUCGUUUGUGUUCUUUGAUAGAAGCUAAGUCAUGGAUUCUUGAAGUCAUGGAUUCUUGAAGUGAUCGGAUUCUUUGAAGCUCUUGUGUUCUUCUUGUAAGGUUGAUCGGAUUGUAACCAACAGUGAUUGAGCUCCAUGUACAGCCACACCGCGGUCGAUCAGAUUAAAAAGGCCAACUCGCUUGUGUUCUUUGAUAGAAGCUAAGUCAUGGAUUCUUGAAGUCAUGGAUUCUUGAAGUGAUCGGAUUCUUUAAAGCUCUUGUGUUCUUCUUGUAAGGUUGAUCGGAUUGUAACCAACGGUGAUUGAGCUCCGUGUACAGCCACGCCACGGUCGAUCAGAUUAAAAAGGUCAACUCGUUUGUGUUCUUUGAUAGAAGCUAAGACAUGGAUUCUUGAAAGUCAUGGAUUCUUGAAGUGAUCGGAAUAUUUGAAGCUCUUGUGUUCUUCUUGUAAGGUUGAUCGGAUUGUAACCAACGGUGAUUGAGCUCCAUGUACAGCCACGCUGCGGUCGAUCAGAUUAAAAAGGUCAACUCGUUUGUGUUCUUUGAUAGAAGCUAAGUCAUGGAUUAUUGAAGUCAUGGAUUCUUGAAGUGAUCGGAUUCUUUGAAGCUCUUGUGUUCUUCUUGUAAGGUUGAUCGGAUUGUAACCAACGGUGAUUGAGCUCCGUGUAAAGCCACACCACGGUCGAUCAGAUUAAAAAGGUCAACUCGUUUGUGUUCUUUGAUAGAAGCUAAGUCAUGGAUUCUUGAAGUCAUGGAUUCUUGAAGUGAUCGGAUUCUUUGAAGCUCUUUUGUUCUUCUUGUAAGGUUGAUCGGAUUGUAACCAACGGUGAGUGAGAUCCGUGUACAGCCAAGCCAUGGUCGAUCAGAUUAAAAAGGUCAACUCGUUUGUGUUCUUUGAUAGAAGCUAAGUCAUGGAUUCUUGAAGUCUAUGGUGAUCAAAGGGGUUUGAUUUUCAACAUAAACAAACUAAUAAUAAGAUGAGUAAAUGCCUCAACUUCGUGAAACAAGAUUUCUAAUAAUCCAAAUAUGUUUUGUUUUUUUUAUCUGAUUCGACUACAACAGAGCGCAGAAGACAGAUCAAAGCAAGUUACGCAGAAAAAAUAUGAUAUAGAAAAACAUGAUUUACCUUUUAUGAAACAGCUCUGAAACUCGCUUUUAUCUGAUUUACCUUUUCGUUUUAGCGACGUUCUUUGGAAGAAGAGAUAUGAGUUGCAAUGAAAGAGCAAAGUCAACUUAUAGACAGUCUAUAAUGAUCUGUUAUGACUUAUUCUAAUUCUAAAUAAAAUGAAUAUUUUUUUGUGCACCGAAUAAAAAAGAUAUAGUUUUUUGUACUACAAACUACGAAUUAUAUAUUUUUAUUACAAGAGUCAGAUUCCUAUAAAGUUUCUCAAUGAGAUCAAUUCUUUCAAAUAGAUUUUUUUUUUUAAUUUUUUUGUCACAAAAAAUAACUUUAGAUAAAAAAAUGAAUGAAAUAGCUUUUUAAUUUUAAAAUUUUUAAUUUUAAUUUUUAAAAAUUUGAAAUUAUAUCCGCAGAACUCUAACCCUUAACAAAUACUAUCCUAGGAAUCCCCUAUAUAUUAAAUGAGAAAUCACUUUAAUGAUUUCUGGUGACGUGUCGCUUAUAGGUGAAGUUUCAAAAAAUUGUUAUCAUUGAUUAGUCGAUUGUUUUUAAAUUUUAUUAUUUAAAUUAAAUCUAAAAAUUUAAGGUAAGUCUAAAAACAUUUAACAUCACUUGCCAUAUAAUCUAAAGAAUAUUACAAAUAACAAUUUAUGGCAACUAAUUCUCGAAAUUAUAGAAAGAUUAAUAAUGUUUAAUUUAUUACUUUUAAUAUCUAUAAACUAUAAAAUAUAAUGAACGAAUUUUUAUAUAAGAUAAUUAUAAUAGUUUUAUACUCUACUUGAUAAAUUGUAUUCGAAUAUAAUUAUAUAAUAACUAUUUUAAAUAUUACAAAAUCCAAACAUGUCUAUUAAUAUGAUUUUGAAAUUAUUUAUCGUUGUUUACAAAAUAAAUUUAACAGAAUUUUAAAAUUAUUUAUAAAAUGUUAUAAAUUAUUUAUAAAAAUAUAAAUCCUACUAUAUAUCAAUGUGAUUUUUAUUACGUGUUAAUCAUAAAUGAACUCUUCAAAUUGUUAUAAUUUGAUUGGCCGAUAAUUUUUAAUUUUAUUUAUUAUAAUUAUAUCUAAAAGGAAAGGAUAAUUCAAAUACCACUUUCAAAAUAUUCUACAUAAUAUUAGAAAUAAUUAUUUAUGGUAACUAAUUGUUGAAACUAUGAAAGUGUAAUAAUGCAAUCAAUUUUUUAUAUAUUUAUAAAUUACAUAAAAUAAUAAACAAAAAUGUUUAUUUGAAUUGAUAUAAUGAUUUUAUAUUCAUAUAGAAAGAAUUAUAUUUCUAUAUAAAGUAUCAUAAUAACUAUUAAUGUCUAAUAAUUCAAUGCAUGCUUUAUAAAUCAUUUAUAAAAUUAUAAAUACAUUUAUAAAAAUUAUUUAUAUUGGCUUAUCAGAUGUUUUAAAUUAUUAUAAGAGAUUCUAAGUCAUUUAUAGAAGCUUAUACAUUAAUUUAUAAAAUGUAUUUUGAAAAUUUAUCCUCCUAUUACAAUAUUUUUGAAUUUUUUCAUUUUUAAUGGUAAAAUUCUUCAACUAUGUUUACUUAGUGUAGAAACUUCUAAACUAAAGAUUUACUGGUACUAAUGGUAAUUAUGACCUUCUAAAGUUUAAUUCAUUAAAUAAAGUUAUUUUAGGGCGGUUUUCAUUAAAUACUUAGUUUGAGGGGUUUUUACCCAAAACAAACUUAGUUGAGGGGUUUUAACGUUAAAAUUCCUUAUUCUUUCUUUAUUAUCUAUUAUUUAAAUCCUUAUAGUGGGAUUUGUUUUAUCAAAAUCAGUUGCAAUCAACUGGCGAGAUAUCUUAUUUCCUAAUAUCAUGCAUUUAAUAUUUAAAUAUAUAUAUAGCAAAAUUUGAGUUACCAAGAUUAUGUAUAUAUUAUAACCAGAAUAUUUUCAAAAAAUUAUUAGAAGAUAUUCUAUCUCAUAGCUGAAUUAAAAUUUAUUAGAAGAUAUUAUAUCUCAUAGUUUCUCUUAAAAGUUAGGUCAUUUAGAAACUUAAACUAGUUUUCUAUAUAAAUAUCACGCCACCCCCAUUAGUUUCACGCAUCUAUCUUUUAAGUCUUCAUAUGUUUUUGAUCGUUCUAAUUUAAAUUCUACUUUUAUGAUCUUGCGCAGGUGUAUGAUAAUCAAUAAGUAACUCAUAGACGGGAACACCAUUACUGGUAAUUUUAUGGGGGAUUCUUCUUCUCCGUUUAUUUUUGUUCUCUUCCUCUUCAUGUUGUAUCUCUAUCUAUAUUUUUGCAUCAGUAGUGAUUCAACUAACAAAAAGAGACGACUCUGUUUAUCCAGGAACUGAUCAUCCCUUUCGAAAACGGUAAUUCUUUUUUUAUAAAGUUAAAUCACUUAGCAAGAAUAUAAUAUAAGAUGUGUAUGCUAAUCAAGUGCAAUUUAUUUAUUGUGUGUGAUCCUCUUCAGGUACGUCUGAGAGCCAAAGGUAAUCUCAAAGCUUUUUAAAAACUUUGAAAUUCAUUGACGUUGUCCUAUCAAUUAUAUAAUUUGUUAUCUUUUGGGGAUUGUUUACAUCUUUAAAUAUUUUUGUUAGAAUUACCUCUUUUAUGGCUCUAAGCUUAGAGAAGGAAACCGUAAAUCAUCUCUGCUGUUACAAUGAAACCAAUGAUAAUAAAUCUCAGGUAAUUCAAAUCUCUGUUUUAUAUUUCAUGGCUGAUUUUUCUAUUGGGGUUAUGCAUAAAAUAUUUGUUUUUUCUCAAUUAUAUUUUCUGAUGUUUUAAGAUUGGUUUGAAUUGUGAUCGUUUGAAGCAUAAUGCAUUCUCAGUACACACUCCAUGAUAAAUACUUCUAUGUAAAUUGUGUCAAUUAUGUUAGUGAUUUUGCAUCUGAGUAUUGUGACUGAUGUUCCAAGAGAGAAAUCAUAUCAUCUCAAACCGAGAUUGUUGGGAAAGGUAUUUAGUUUAUAGAUGUAAUUGGAUAAUUGACAUCUAAGGGAUACAUUUUACUAGAUAGUACCAAACAGUCCUUUUAAACCUUUUGAACUCUAACUUUUUGAACUAACACAAUAAUCAUGUUUAACCUAUAAGCAGUUCAAAGAGUUAUGUAUCUAAAUGAUACGUUUUAUCAGAUAUAAAUGAUACGUUUUAUUAGAUAGUACCAAUCAGUCCUUUUAAACUCAAACAAUGCCAUGUUCUGAGUUGUACACAUUGUAUUGACCUUUUUUUUUCCUUGCGGUGUGUAUUCAGAUAGCAGUAGUGAAGUGCAAAUAUGAAGUAAUAUCAACCAAAAUUAAGAAAAGUCUUUUAAAAGUAGAGAUAAUCACAUGGGCCUCUCUUGAACAUGACAAACAACCAGUAGUUUUGCCAGACCCGAAUUUCUUAAAAGGUUUUCUACUUUUUAUUUUCUUAUUAUUUAGUUUCACCUGAUGAGAAGUUUGAAUCACAGACUCUUGACAUUUUAAAAUUUAUAUUAUUUGUUUGUGUAAUGGUGCAGAGGUUUCAAUGAGACCGGCUUAUCCUUCUUCCAAGAAAGUAAAGGACUAUGACAAGCUAGAAGCUGAAGUGAAGAAGAAUAGAAGGAUGAUAAGCUUGAAGGAGACGCUGCUUUGAACAAGUUCUUCCGUGAGAUAUAUUUGAAUUCUGAUGAGGAUAUGAGGAGUGCUAGAACAAAUCAUUUGUGAGUAUCUAUCUACAAUAUUCGUAUUUAGUCUUUCUUCUUUCAUGGAGAUUACAAUGUUUUGGCAUUUUGAUUGACUUUUUUGCAGUUUUGCACAAUCAACAGGUGGAAUCUAUUGGGACAAUGCUUUCAAUAGACUGGAAAGAUGUUGGUGCUAAGAAAAUCAAGAAAACUCUUCAUGAUGAUCUGGCGCUCAAGACAUGGAAAAUAUGAUCUUAUAUGAUGUGUGGGUUUUACCUUAAUCUAGACAGAACUCGAAGCCUUGGUCUUAAGGUCUGGUUUCUCUACUUUAUGGACCUAAGGUACUUUGUAUUUUCCAUAACUCAUAUUGUUUAUACGAAACACUGAAAUUUUUAAUCUAAACGUUCUAAUGUAUUCUUUGUUCAUAUGAACAUAGUAUAAAUAUCAAUAUGUAAUAUCUAAUCUUUCAUAUUAACCACAUACAUGUAACACAAGUAUUAUAUAGUUGUAAAUAUGUAAUUAUCAAUUUAGUAUUGAUGUUAAUACCCGCACAUGCGUGCGGGCGGUCACCUAGUUUCUAUUUAAAUAACUAUUUUUGACCCAUAUCUCCCAUGCAUUUUGCUAGUUCUAUUCGUACCUCGAGAUUCGAUUUCCGUUUUCGACCAAUAUGAGAACCCUAAGACCACCACUUUGUACCGUAACAGAGCCAAGCUUACUCCUCCACCUUGCAUUGCUUCCUCAUGAGACCGUCGAAAGGCAAGCACGCAAGAUCUGGAAAACACGUCUCCAAAAACCCUAAAAGCCAACGCUUUUUCACACCAUCUCCCGCCGACUCUCAUCACUGCUCAGAUAUGUUUUUAGUAGCUAUGACGAUAAUGGUUUUUGGUAAGGCAAAUUUCUUACACCUGAGAAUCUGUUGUGAGAUAUGUUCAGAGAAACCAAGUUUUUUAGACCAGAGGGGGAAAAGAGGUCGCCUGAAAGCAAGUUGUGCGAAAUGUCCAGAUCCUCGCAGGUAUAAAGCCAUCUAAUGCAUUCCAGCUCAAGUUUAAGGCAAUGUUUAGAUUUUCAAUGUCAAAGAGCUCUUCGGGUAUGGCUCCAGAGAUGUUAUUACUACUGAGAUCAAGAAGUUUAAUAUUUGCGCUUUCACCUAGAGACGUAGGGAUCCUUCCAGUGAAGAAAUUUUCACCAAGAAUGAGCCGGUUAAGCGAAAGGAGCUAACCAAGACCAUCAGGAAGCUUGCCAGUUAAGGCAUUUGAAUAGACAUCAAGAACCUGAAGCUUUGUUAAGGUAGAUAAAGAGAGAGGAAGAUAACCUCUAAGGCCCUGUUCGUUUGUACAUCUGGAAGAUGUAUCUAGAUGGUCCAUCUAGAUGUUUUAUCCAGAUGCUUCAUCUGGGUGUUGUUCGUUUCUUCAUUUCAUCCAUGCAUUCAGAUGAAUCAUCUGAAUGCAACUAUGUUCGUUUGCUUUUCAUUUUUUAACUUUCAUCUUCAUCCAGGUGGACUUGUUAAUAAAAUGACUAAAAUUAAAAUUUUUACGUUUCGGCGGAAAAAUAGCAUUUUACCGGUUUUGGCCGAAAAUAUUUUUGCAGUUUUUAAGGAAAUAUGUGUUUUUCGCGAAAAAGUACAUUUUUAUGGUUUUGGCGGAAAAAUAAGUUUAAUGGGUUUGACGGGAAAAUACGUUUUUGCGAUUUGGACGGAAAAAGUGUGUUUUGAAGUUUGGGGGGGGGGGGGGCGAAAGUGUUUUUGACGGAAAAGUUUUUUUUCACGAUUUUGGCGGGAAAUUGUUUUUCGCGAUUUUGGCGGGAAAAGUUUUUUUUCGCGAUUUUGCGGGAAAAGCAUUUUUGCGAUUUUGGCGGAAAAAUACAUUUUUCCAGUUUUGGCGGGAAAAUACAUUUUUGCAGUUUUGGCGGGAAAAUACAUUUUUUCCGGUUUUGGCGGGAAAAUGUGCUUUCCGGUUUUGAUGGGAAAUGCGUUUUUCCGGUUUUGGCGGGAAAAUGCAUUUUCCGGUUUUGGCGGGAAAAUGCGUUUUUCCGGUUUUGGCGAAAAAAAUUUCAUUUUCCGAUAUUGGCGGGAAAAUUGUGUUUUUCAGUUUUGGCGGAAAAAUGCGUUUUUCCGGUUUUGGCGGGAAAUUCUGUUUUCCGGUUUGGCGGGAACAUUCAGUUUUUGGGUUUUGGCGAGAAAAUUCUGUUUUCUGGUUUUGGCGGGAAAAUUUUGUUUUCCGGUUUUGGCGGGAACAUCCCGUUUUCCGGUUUUGGCGGGAAAAUUGUGUUUUUUGGUUUUGGUGGGAAAAUGCUUUUUGGAGUUUUGGUGGGAAAAUGUGUUUUUAGGCUUUGGCGGGAAAAUGCGUUUUUUUUUAUUUUGACGGGAAAAUGCGUUUUUUUUUGGUUUUGGUCGAAAAGUGCGGUUUUACUGGUUUAGCCGAAAAAUGUGUUUUUAUGAAAAUGUUUGUUUUAUGUUUUUUUUUUGCGGAAAAAUACAUCUUGCGGUUUUGACGGGAAAGUGUGUUUUUUAGUUUUUGCGAGAAAAUGCAUUUUUUGGUUAUAGCGGAAAAAUGUAUAUGAAAAAAUAGAAUUUACGGUUUGAAAAUAAUAUUUUGAUUUUAAAAGGUCAUUUUUAUCAUUUUGGACUAAAUUAGAUGCAUCUGCAUCCAGAUGCACCAUCAAGACUCAGCUUCAUUUGGAUGAGAAUUUGAGAUGAGUUUUUAAAAAUUCAGCUUGGUGAUCCAUCUGGAUGUAGCGUUAUAAUGCACAAAACGAACAUCAAUUUGCAUCUUCACCCAGAUGGAUCAGCUGGGUGAGGAAACGAACAGGGCCUAAGAGUAUUGUUGCUCAAGGUUAGCAUUUGGAGUUGUCUGCAGUUGCUUAUCUCCCAAGGAACUGAACCGGAGAGAUUGUUCUCAGACAAAUCAAGGAAGCUAAGGUUCUGAAUAAACCCUAUUUUUUUAGGAAUCUCUCCUAUGCUGCUGUUAUUGACAAGUCUUAAUUUGACAAGAGAAGUGCAGUUUCUGAUCUCCGGUGGGAUAACACCGGAGAUGGCAUUAGACAUAAGCAAGAUCUUAGUCAGGUUACGAAGCUGGAACAAACCAGCAGGUAAGACUCCGGUGAGAAAGUUCUGAGACAAGUCAAGAGCUUGGAGAUUCUUACAACCAGCUAAACUCGGUCGGAAUGUUCCCUUCUAGCAUGUUCUGCCACCCUAAGAAGAUGUUAAGCUCCUUAAGCAAACCAAUCGCAAGAGGAAUCAAAACCGAAAUCUCAUUGGCGUCGAUCUGCAACUGAAGAAGCCUUGUGCAGUUGCUUAGAACAGAAGGUAUCGACCCUGUGAUGUUGUUGCUGCUAAGCAUAAGCUGUUGGAGAUUCGACAAGUUACCAAACGUUUCAGGGAUGGGUUCUUGAGAGAUAGUUCGUAGAGAGAUCAAUGGAGGUUAAGCUUUUGAUGAAUCCGAUCUCCUCAGGGAUAGGUCCGUGAAGGUUAUUCUGCCAUAGAAGCAUCUUCUCUAGGUUUUGAAGUUGACCUAGCUCUCGUGGAAGCGUGCCAGACAAGUCAUUGUCGUAUAGAAAGAGAUUGAUAAGCGCAGAGCAGUUUCCAAGCUCUUUAGGGAUCUCACCCGAGAGCAUUGCUGAAUAUAGACAGAUAUAGUUUCAAGCUUGCUUAGUUGACCUAACGUGACGGGUAAGUUACCGGAUAUUUCCGUUGCCGCGAGCCCUAGAACCGUGAGAAUAAUUGUCAAAUAUUUCUACAAUAUUUCUCCUUCUCUGAAUCAUUAUCGUCCUGAAUCAUUUUCCUUGCCCUUAAAACCGCUAACACGCCUAAUACCGCUAGAAUAAUUGUCAAACUAAUUUAGCCCAAUGGCUAUCUUGAGUACUUGAGAAAGCACAAAAUCUUCACCAGGCUGUGUCAGUGUGCUUAGCCGUGUACCAUUACUGAAUAAACAAGACCUGAAGCCUUUGGAACAUAGUCCAUUAUUUCCUUCCAUCUCUUCUUCUAUCAUUUGUCUGAACACUUUACUGUGUGGAAGAAAACGUGAGAAUCUAUCGUGAGAGAUAUUCAAAGAAACCAAGUUUUUAAGACCGGACUGGGAAAAGAGGUGGCCUGAAAGCAUGUUGUACGAUAUAUCCAGCACGGAUAAUCGGUUAAGAGCUGAGAUCCUCGCCGGGAUGAAGCCAUCUAAUGAGUUCCAGCUCAAGUUUAAGGCAAUGUCUAGAUUUUCAAUGUCAAAGAGUUUUUCAGGUAUGGUUCCAAGAGAUGUUGUUACUGCUGAGAUCAAGAAGCUGAAGAUUCGUGCAUUGACCAAGAGAUGUUGUUACUGCUGAGAUCAAGAAUGUGGUUUUGCAUAAUAGUUUGUGUCAAUACAGUCAGGAUUGUAAGAUGGUUUGUAUUCGAGACCUGAGCCAAGCGUUUAAGAUUCUUCCUCGUUUCAAGAGUGUAAACUCCGUGUAUUAUUACUACACUAAUGCCUAUCAAUUAGCCAAAAGAUAAACAAUUUUUUUUUGUGACCGAUGUUUAUACUAUCAAGGUAAUUGUAUAUUUUAGGUUAACUAGAUGUUUGGUGUCAAAGCUGUUGACUCCUCCAUCUCUUGAUCUUCGUUAAACCAAAUGAUAAAAUCAUGUUCAAUGAUCACUAUCAAAGCAUUGUCAUACAAAAAAGGGAGACAUUGAAGAAAAUAUGGUUCGACAUACAGAAUGUAUUUCAAACUUAGCAUUACAGCGAGUGAGCAUGGAAUAGAUAAACGGAAUAUCGCACGCAGACAAGUAGUAAACAAAAACGACUUAUAUAUCCCAUCACACAAUGAACAGUGGGUACUGAUUCUGAGUAGGUUCCCCUGAAAACCAAAUAAUAAAGAGGUUAGAUGGUUGAGACUUUCACACUAAACUUCAGAGGAUACAUAACCAACAAAACGAACAAUAUGGAACAUUAUACCAAAAAUAUAUACCUGAGACGUUUUAUUCUCCUUAUUUGUAGCUAGGAUAGUUUAAUUGAACACUAGGAAUGUGUUGGACUUUGUAGUAACUUUCCCCACCUGAUUCCAAUUUCCCCUUCCACUCAUUGUUCAUACCUGAAAUUUUCAGUUCCUUUAAAGAGAUUAUAUACUUCAGCCCUUCCGGUAUCUCCUUCAACUUGUCACAAUACUUUAUAUGCAAAGUACGAAGACAUGGCAUCGACCCUUCUUCGAUUUCCCACUCUUCCAACUCUUUUAGAACCACUAAAUCUAGCUUAUGUAAUUGAGGGAAUCCACCUUUUGAACACACCAUUUUCCUCCCUG
RNAcentral lists this long non-coding RNA (36432 nucleotides) under Brassica rapa (field mustard). Its description in RNAcentral is "long non-coding RNA (BRAP_LNC004641)". Lineage: Eukaryota; Viridiplantae; Streptophyta; Magnoliopsida; Brassicales; Brassicaceae. The record is from RNAcentral.